Capsicum annuum is the source of this 156-nucleotide non-coding RNA. NCBI's taxonomy places the organism in Eukaryota, Viridiplantae, Streptophyta, Magnoliopsida, Solanales, Solanaceae. The record is from Rfam.
AACUCUCAACAACGGAUGUCUCGGCUCUCAUAUUGAUGAAGAAUGUAGCAAAAUGCGAUACUUGGUGUGAAUUUCAGAAUCCCAUAAACCAUCAAGUCUUUGAACAUAAGUUAUGCCCAAAUCCAUUAGACCGAUGGCACAUCUGCCUGGACUUCA